CCAGGUUAUAAAUGUGAUAUUAUAAUAUCCUUGGAUAAGUUGUUAAACAAAUGUUUCAGUUGAUUGCUCUGUAUUUUAAAUUUCAGACCUCAUCAAAAUGCUUAUAAAACAAAAUUAUAAAGAAAAUCACCAAUAUAUACUUUGAAGAUGAAAGAGCCUGACUAGCACAAUCUAUGUUGGUUGAUUGCUCCUCAGAAAAUCUUCCACAACUGUGAUUGGAUUUGCAAAUGUCAGAGUUCAAAGUUAAUGGAAAAACUCAUCUUUAAAUAACACUCAAAAUGAUUGGCAUUGUCUUACAGAUUACAAAUGAGUACCUCCUAUUUCUCCUAUGAAUUGGGCAAUGGAUGUUUCUUUGACAGACGAGACCAGAAACAGCUGGGUGAUGAGUUGUUUCACAAAGUGAGUGAAACUCCCAAGGAGGGAGGGGCUAUCGGAUUCUCGAGUCUUCCAAUGGUCAAAUAAUAAAAAAGUCUUUUGUCUAAGGGACAUUUUUUACCUCUCUUCCAAAACUGAAACUAAAAUUGUCAAAUUCAUUUCAUAUUAAGGGUUGACACUCUCACAUAGCUUAGAACUUGGGAAUGAAAGAAAAUAUUAGCUUUCAGUAGUCUUAUUAUUUCCCCACUAUCAGAAUAAGCCUAAUGAAUGGAUUUGAGAAGGCAGAGACAUCACAGUUCCUUAGAAUCUCCCACUCUUUAU
RNAcentral lists this long non-coding RNA (696 nucleotides) under Vulpes vulpes (red fox). RNAcentral's name for it is "lncRNA (ENSVVUG00000006469.1)". Lineage: Eukaryota; Metazoa; Chordata; Mammalia; Carnivora; Canidae. The record is from RNAcentral.